Molecule: non-coding RNA, 1488 nt
Organism: Lolium perenne
Lineage: Eukaryota; Viridiplantae; Streptophyta; Magnoliopsida; Poales; Poaceae
Source: RefSeq, a predicted model, not a curated record
ACCUAAUAAUAAAGGAGCUAAGGUUUCUGCCAAAAUUUUCGUCCAACUUUUCGUUGGACCGUUUUGCCCUCCCACCAAAUCACUUAACAUUACACCAUGCCAUGUACCGGUUCGAUAUUUUUUUCGUCCAAUCGAAGAAAAAACAGAACCGGGCGCGGGGCGGCCUCAUGGCUUCCUCCUCUGUCCCGCACUCAAACCAGGACGCCUAAUCCCUUCCGUUUAAUUUCUUGCCUCCUCUCCACGAAGAUCCCCCAUAUAUAGCCUCUCUACUCCGCCCGUGAAUCCAACAGAAGCCCUAGAAAAAAUCCGAUUAAAUCGCUUGGAUGAACCCGCCGCGUGGAAGCUGGAGGCGGCGCCGGCGGUGCCUCAUGCGGCGAUCUAGAUAGCACGAGAGACAUCGGGGAGUGGGGAAAAGGAACCAGCGUCUCACGAGGAUGAAUAUGGCGAGUUCGGGUUGACCGGAGGAGUCACCUGGGCGAAGCCGUGGUCAACGGCGGCAUGGCCAAAGCACACAGACGGGGGGAGGAAGCUCGGGUGCGCGCGCCACCUCUUUCCUCUACUUAUACACAAGCCCCGCCGAUCUAUCCUCUCCGUUCUACUUCUUCCCUCUCGAUUUUCGAUUGGUUUUUGCCCUGCACGAUUUCGAUUGGGAAUUUGUCCUGCGCUGGAGAUAAGGAGAUUCCCUCGAUGGCGUCCAAGCAAUAAUCAAGGAGCUGAACGACCAACCUGCAGAGGGAUCCCCUGCCUCAUUCAGGAACAUGCGCACAAGCAGGGCUGCCAGCCCCUGAUCUGCUGCACUGGCUGGGGAUAUCGCCAUCUACAACACGCAGCUUGGGCGGCUAGCUGCGGUGCUGGGAAUUGGUCGACAGUGAUGAGAGCAUUGACCAUGUGGAGAAAUAAAAUUCCGGCCGAGCACAUAUGUAUUCGUCGACCUUCAAGAUGCUGGCUUCGCUGGUGAAAAAAGAGAAUCCCAAGCUGAAAUCUGUGUUGCACGUAUUGAUCUUACACAUGCAGGAGGGCAGCUGGAGGCGGAUGCCCUGCUUUCGUCGGCUGUCUCCUUACCAAUGGAACGAUGGUGCAUCUUUGAGGCUGCUGCUGUUGUUGCUUGAUCAAAUGGUUCACAUUGUCUGCGUUCCCAAUUUAGAGUACUUCUUCCUCAAAACAAGUGAAGUUUUGUCAGGUUAGCUGCUGAUCAAUGUCUCCGGCAUCCUUUCAAUUCAAAUGCCAUACAACGAGGUGUGAUCAUUACAUGGAAACCGUCUGAUUUUUUCAGUUUUCAUUCACUCGGUUAUGGAAUCAUUAUGGCUUAUGUGAAACCAUGUUGCUUUGAACUCAUAUUGCAGAGCCCUCAUUGAGCAAAGUUCAGAAAUCAUCCCGAUAUGAACUUAUGAAGUGAAUGCUGUUAGACAUUUUCAGACAAAAAAAAUAUAUGCAAUAUUGUUUGUUAAUGCAUAGAUUUUGAUUUAUUAAUGCAUUGAAAUUUGUUUC